Molecule: ribosomal RNA, 214 nt
Filed under: uncultured bacterium
Lineage: Bacteria
Description: partial 16S ribosomal RNA
Rfam family: Bacterial small subunit ribosomal RNA
Source: RNAcentral
AUCCAACCUGCCGAUAACUCGGGGAUAGCCUUUCGAAAGAAAGAUUAAUACCCGAUGGUAUAAUCAGACCGCAUGGUCUUGUUAUUAAAGAAUUUCGGUUAUCGAUGGGGAUGCGUUCCAUUAGGCAGUUGGUGAGGUAACGGCUCACCAAACCUUCGAUGGAUAGGGGUUCUGAGAGGAAGGUCCCCCACAUUGGAACUGAGACACGGUCCAA